RNAcentral lists this ribosomal RNA (273 nucleotides) under uncultured bacterium. RNAcentral describes it as "partial 16S ribosomal RNA". It matches the Rfam family "Bacterial small subunit ribosomal RNA", at positions 67 to 339 of the family's 1533-position model. The record is from RNAcentral.
CUUGAAAGUUUCUUCGGAAACGAUUGGGUGGCGGACGGGUGAGUAACGCGUGAAGAACUUGCCCUUAGGACUGGAACAACAGUUGGAAACGACUGCUAAAACCGGAUAUACUCUUUUUACGGCAUCGUAAGAAGAGGAAACACUAUAUGUGCCUAAGGAGAGCUUCGCGUCCUAUUAGCUAGUUGGUGGGGUAACGGCCUACCAAGGCGACGAUAGGUAACCGGCCUUAACGGGUGAACGGUCACAAGGGAACUGAGACACGGUCCUUACUCC